This 423-nucleotide ribosomal RNA is filed under the name uncultured archaeon. Its description in RNAcentral is "partial 16S ribosomal RNA". It matches the Rfam family "Archaeal small subunit ribosomal RNA", at positions 323 to 746 of the family's 1478-position model. The record is from RNAcentral.
CUACGGGAGGCUGCAGGUGCGAAACCUUUACACUGUACGAAAGUACGAUAAGGGAAUCCCAAGUGCUCAUGCUUUGCAUGGGCUUUUGCCAAGAGUAAAUAUCUUGGCGAAUAAGUGGUGGGCAAGACGGGUGCCAGCCGCCGCGGUAACACCCGCGCCACAAGUGGGGACCUCGUUUGAUUGGGCCUAAAGCGUCCGUAGCUGGUUUGGUAAAUCUUCUGUGAAAUCGUUGGGCUUAACUUAACGGCGUGCAGGAGACACUACCAGACUUGGAACCGGGAGGAGUUAGGAGUAUUCUGGGGGGAGCGGUAAAAUGCUAUAAUCCUCGGAAGACUACCUGUGGCGAAGGCGCCUAACCAGAACGGAUUCGACAGUGAGGGACGAAAGCUAGGGGAGCGAACCGGAUUAGAUACCCCCGUAGUC